CUACAUUCUUAUACUUGGUCAUGGUAAAUUCGACCUACAAGACCAUGUCACUGACGUAUGUUUUAUCUUAAGAGGCAGAAUUUCCGAAAACGGUAGGGAGUCGCGCCUGAGACGCCAUCAAGGAAAGAUCAUUCGUUGCAUUUGGAAGCCAUUAUUAGAUACUGCAUCAGUCGCUGUCGCUGUGGAGUAACGCGCCAUUACUUCCUUCUUUCUCCUUAUUACUAGAACAUCCUUUUCCUUGGUCAUAUAAAAAACUCAGCGCAACUGCAGUGGAGUGGGGAGAGAAAGAAAGAAGAAGAACUACCAGUCUUCCACAUGGCGUAUAGUUCUUUGUCAUUCGUUCAGCGUUAUUGUUGGUUAUGAUUCAGAAGUCUUCGAAUGAAAAUCGUGGCAUUUAUAUCACAUCGUGUUUAUAUGUAACAAAUUGAUCCAGUGGUGAGAGAGCAUAUUUAAUUGCUUAUUACAAAAACAGCCUGUCAGAACUUGAUAACGAUCCUCACACAAUAAAUAUACCAGAUUUCGCAGUGGUGGAAUUUGAUGAGGGGUACGAAGUAAUACGUACAAGUUGGACAGUUUUCGAUGAGACUAACACGAUAACAGCGACCCUCUUUCCACCAGCUAAGACUCAUAAAGAAGUUGAUAAAAUAUUAGAAAGAAAUGUACAACCCGAUGAAUUUUGGGGUGACGAUAAUUGCGAUCAAUAGCCCAUUGAAAGGUUGUGUUGUUAUGCCGGUUGUUACGAAUUAGCACUGAAGAAAUUGCAAUUGUACAUGCAGUUAUUAGAGGUAAAUUGCAAUGACGCAGUAAUUUUGGAAAGUCUGAAGAAAACCAGGCACAUGCGUUGCGCCAACAAAUUUUCAGACGAAGAUUUGGGAAGUAAGAGGUCCGCUAAACCUAAGUCGACUAAAUUUCAAAUGAAAACGCCCUUCAUACUUGCCCCUGCCGCACAACCAAAAUUGAAGGAAAGCAAUAUACCAAUAAAAGUGGAUUCGAAUUUAUAAAAACUGCAACGAUGUACUCUAAGUUUAUGAUCAAUGGAUUUAAAAUAAUUUUUAGGAAUUGCAAAGUAUUUUAAAAGGUUUUAGGGAUUUUCGAAGUAUUUCAAUAUAUUUCAAGAGAUUUCACAGCACUUCCAAAUUAGUUGCAAAAAAGUUGAAAACGUCUUAAGGGAUUUCACAGAUUUUCUAAGGACAUCAGAUGAUUCAAGAAUAUUGCAAGGGAUUUCCAAGAAUCUUUUGAGACUACAUAGCCUAUGAAAGGAUUUUUAUGUAUUUCAGGUCAUUAUAGAAACCUUCACCGGAUAUUUCUAAUCUUCUAAAUGUUUAAAGUGGUUUCAAAGGGUUUCAACAAAUUUAUAGAGAACCCAAAGUAUUAAAAAAGAUUUUAUGAAAUGUAGAAGUAUUUCAAAAUAUUUCUAGGGAUAUUACAAGAUUUCAAAGGAUUUUGAGGGGUUUCGAAGGAUUUUUACUGAUUUAUAAACACUUGAAGGAGUUUCAUGAGGAUUUCUAGGGAUUGAAAAAUAUUUUGAGAUUUCAGUAUAACUGUAAGGAUUUCAAAGGAAAACAUCAAAGACGAGUUUGAAAGACAGCUCUCAUACAAUCCAAAUAAUCAAAUAAGAAAUAAUGAAAACACAUGGUCAUCAUCUCCUCCAAAUUGUGAACUCAAUUUUGAUGAAGAGAAGCAGUACAGUCAUAAAAGAAGUCAUACAGUCAUAAAAGAAAACAUACAAGAAGACAUAUCAGAUUGAAAAUACAAUCACUGUUUUGAAACUGUUGGUUAUUUUUAAUUACAAAUUAAGCGUAAAGUCAUAACACUUUUUUUUGCUUUGCAGUCAAUCCGUCACAAAUUUUAAUGCUAAAAAAAUGAACACAGUGGGAGUUCUGCUGGAAUCGCUAUGUCGUGACCGUGAGAAUAAUAGAAAUACAGGAGAAUUAACUAGUCGACUAUCUCUAACUUUCCAGAGCUAAGAUUUAAAAAUGCUUCCUGCAAAUAGCAAAGAAGAAAUCGAUAGCAUUGAGGAAAAGAUGUCGAGUAAAAAAUUCCACGCAAAAGUAGUGCAAGCACUUUGUAAAAUUGGAAAGCACACCUCUAUGAACAUGACUGCUGCAAAUUUACUAAAGCACGUUCUAACAUACGAAGCUGGACAGAAGUUUUCUUUCGAGGUAAGGUCACAAAAGAAAUCCACGUUCAAAAAUCUGAAGCUAUAUUCAGCUAUAAUGCUAUGGACAUUCUUUACCCUGAUGUAACUGCUAUCAUGGUGAAGAAAUGCGUCAGUGAAUGGUUAAGCCAAUGCAAGAAUCGACAAAAACGAACGCUGGACAGAGAAAAUAGGAAUGUAGAGAAGGAGCGCCGCAUGCACCUCGACUUGGAAGACGAUGAUGAGGAGGAAUAACAUAACUGGAUGAUUUCAGAAGACAGAGUUUUAAUUCGUUCAAGUUUAUGACAAAAAUGUAAAGGGUGAACAUUACAAAAUUGAAACUUGUGCAUAUUUGUAAUUAGAUAGAUUUAAAUUUAUUUCACUUCUUAUAUAUAAGUGCUUUCUAGUUGAAAGCUCUUGUUCUGUAACAUUUGAAUAUUUUUAUACAUUAUAUGUUUUAUAUAACUUUAAAAGAACGUUGAUAAUAUGCGUUAAACAUGUAUAAAAAUAUUUAGAUAUCUACAUAAAAUCAUGUAGACGAAAGAAACUAAGACCAACACAUGCAAUAUACAUGUAUAAAAAAAGCAAAUUCAGUUGGUUAUAACCGAAAGUCAGCUUAGUUGUUAAGUAACCGACCUUCGAGUUAGGAUUUUAUGUGAAAAAGUCGUCAAAUUUGAAAUUGUUCAUUUUUGAAGGCUUCUAUUUUGAAAUAAUAACUUUUAAGUCUCCUUUAUGUAUAAAUGUUAAAUUUUUAAAUAAGUUCUUAAAUAACUUUGCACACUUUGAAGAAAAAUAUUUCACCCAUUUCCUGUCGAUUAAAAUAAUUUAGUACCUCGAGGUUAGAAAAAAAAAUAGCGAUCAUAAUGAAUGUUAUUUUACUGCCUUUAAGAAUGAGCAAUUUUAAAUUGAAAACUUUUAUGCAAUAUUUUGAACUCAAAAAUGUUUAAAAGUAAAAUAUUUAAAAAUUUAAGCCAAUCACAAUUUCUAGUUAUUGAUCGAGUAAAUGGAAAUAGAUUCUUUCGGCUCGAGCGCAAUGCUAUCGCAUCCAUUUAAGAAAUUCGAAUAUGACUUUAAUUCAGAGUUUUUGUGGGGAUUUGAUUGCUUCCCGUCAAAAAAUAUUUACGAAAUUCUUAUUUUUACUUUGUCAGGAUUCAUUUGCUUUUUAGCCAAAAAAUGUCCCUUCAUUUGAUACAGAGCCUCUCAAGAUUCUUACGUUUGCUCUAUUAAAUGUAAGAAACAAUUUGCAUAUAACAAUAAAUAUUAUAUCGAAA
This is a long non-coding RNA of Belonocnema kinseyi, 3408 nucleotides long. RefSeq lists it as uncharacterized. NCBI's taxonomy places the organism in Eukaryota, Metazoa, Arthropoda, Insecta, Hymenoptera, Cynipidae. The record is from RefSeq and is a predicted model, not a curated record. The transcript is spliced from 10 exons.